UUGUCACGUAGAAACUCAUAAACCUGGUC
Molecule: non-coding RNA, 29 nt
Filed under: Bombyx mori (domestic silkworm)
Lineage: Eukaryota; Metazoa; Arthropoda; Insecta; Lepidoptera; Bombycidae
Source: RNAcentral